AGGCCUAACACAUGCAAGUCGAGCGGAUGAGUGGAGCUUGCUCCAUGAUUCAGCGGCGGACGGGUGAGUAAUGCCUAGGAAUCUGCCUGGUAGUGGGGGACAACGUUUCGAAAGGAACGCUAAUACCGCAUACGUCCUACGGGAGAAAGCAGGGGACCUUCGGGCCUUGCGCUAUCAGAUGAGCCUAGGUCGGAUUAGCUAGUAGGUGAGGUAAUGGCUCACCUAGGCGACGAUCCGUAACUGGUCUGAGAGGAUGAUCAGUCACACUGGAACUGAGACACGGUCCAGACUCCUACGGGAGGCAGCAGUGGGGAAUAUUGGACAAUGGGCGAAAGCCUGAUCCAGCCAUGCCGCGUGUGUGAAGAAGGUCUUCGGAUUGUAAAGCACUUUAAGUUGGGAGGAAGGGCAGUAAGUUAAUACCUUGCUGUUUUGACGUUACCAACAGAAUAAGCACCGGCUAACUUCGUG
RNAcentral lists this ribosomal RNA (468 nucleotides) under uncultured bacterium. Its description in RNAcentral is "bacterial SSU rRNA". It matches the Rfam family "Bacterial small subunit ribosomal RNA", at positions 44 to 507 of the family's 1533-position model. The record is from RNAcentral.